Molecule: transfer RNA, 87 nt
Filed under: Rickettsiales bacterium
Lineage: Bacteria; Pseudomonadati; Pseudomonadota; Alphaproteobacteria; Rickettsiales
Description: tRNA-Tyr
Rfam family: tRNA
About the family: Transfer RNA (tRNA) molecules are approximately 80 nucleotides in length. Their secondary structure includes four short double-helical elements and three loops (D, anti-codon, and T loops).
Source: RNAcentral
GGGCGUGCGCCGGAGUCGGAGAGCCGGGGCAGACUGUAAAUCUGUUGGCUUUUGCCUUAGAUGGUUCGACUCCAUCCACUCCCACCA